RNAcentral lists this ribosomal RNA (406 nucleotides) under uncultured bacterium. Its description in RNAcentral is "partial 16S ribosomal RNA". It matches the Rfam family "Bacterial small subunit ribosomal RNA", at positions 30 to 526 of the family's 1533-position model. The record is from RNAcentral.
AUUGAACGCUGGCGGCAGGCCUAACACAUGCAAGUCGAACGAGUGGCGGACGGGUGAGUAAUGUCUGUGAAACUGCCCGAUUGAGGGGGAUAACUACUGUAAACGGUAGCUAAUACCGCAUACCCUCUGAUGUGCCCCGAUGGGAUUAGAUUGUAGGUGAGGUAACGGCUCACCUAGGCGACGCUCCCUCGCUGGUCUGAGAGGAUGACCAGCCACACUGGAACUGAGAAACGGUCCAGACUCCUACGGGAGGCAGCAGUGGGGAAUAUUGCACAAGGGGCGCAAGCCUGAUGCAGCCAUGCCGCGUGUAUGAAGAAGGCCUUCGGGGUGUAAAGUACUUUCAGCGGGGAGGCGUUACCCGAAGAAGAAGCACCGGCUAACUCCGUGCCAGCAGCCGCGGUAAUUC